RNAcentral lists this non-coding RNA (117 nucleotides) under Flavobacterium sp. RNAcentral's name for it is "SAM-I sequence". It matches the Rfam family "SAM riboswitch aptamer (S box leader)". From Rfam's summary of the family: The SAM riboswitch is found upstream of a number of genes which code for proteins involved in methionine or cysteine biosynthesis in Gram-positive bacteria. The SAM riboswitch acts at the level of transcription termination control. Lineage: Bacteria; Pseudomonadati; Bacteroidota; Flavobacteriia; Flavobacteriales; Flavobacteriaceae. The record is from RNAcentral.
CAGUUAUCACGAAAGGCGGAGGGAAAGACCCAAUGAAACCUUAGCAACCCUUUAUCAUAAAGAAGGUGCUACAUUCUACUUAAUACCAACAAACACGGUAUUUAAGAUAGAUAACAC